Molecule: ribosomal RNA, 253 nt
Filed under: uncultured bacterium
Lineage: Bacteria
Description: partial 16S ribosomal RNA
Rfam family: Bacterial small subunit ribosomal RNA
Source: RNAcentral
GACGAACCGUGCGAACGUUGUUCGGAAUCACUGGGCUUAAAGGGCGCGUAGGCGGGUGCUCAAGUCCGUGGUGAAAUCCUCCGGCUCAACCGGAGAACUGCCUCGGAUACUGGGCGUCUCGAGUGUGGUAGGGGUAUGCGGAACUAUCGGUGGAGCGGUGAAAUGCGUUGAUAUCGAUAGGAACUCCGGUGGCGAAGGCGGCAUACUGGACCACCACUGACGCUGAUGCGCGAAAGCCAGGGGAGCAAACGGG